This 465-nucleotide ribosomal RNA is filed under the name Vreelandella stevensii. Its description in RNAcentral is "partial 16S ribosomal RNA". It matches the Rfam family "Bacterial small subunit ribosomal RNA", at positions 338 to 795 of the family's 1533-position model. Lineage: Bacteria; Pseudomonadati; Pseudomonadota; Gammaproteobacteria; Oceanospirillales; Halomonadaceae. The record is from RNAcentral.
CCUACGGGGGGCAGCAGUGGGGAAUAUUGGACAAUGGGCGAAAGCCUGAUCCAGCCAUGCCGCGUGUGUGAAGAAGGCCUUCGGGUUGUAAAGCACUUUCAGUGGGGAAGAAAGCCUUGGGGCUAAUACCCUCGAGGAAGGACAUCACCUACAGAAGAAGCACCGGCUAACUCCGUGCCAGCAGCCGCGGUAAUACGGAGGGUGCGAGCGUUAAUCGGAAUUACUGGGCGUAAAGCGCGCGUAGGCGGUCUGAUAAGCCGGUUGUGAAAGCCCCGGGCUCAACCUGGGAACGGCAUCCGGAACUGUCAGGCUAGAGUGCAGGAGAGGAAGGUAGAAUUCCCGGUGUAGCGGUGAAAUGCGUAGAGAUCGGGAGGAAUACCAGUGGCGAAGGCGGCCUUCUGGACUGACACUGACGCUGAGGUGCGAAAGCGUGGGUAGCAAACAGGAUUAGAUACCCCAGUAGUC